UUAAAUACAAUGAUAAGGAAUAGUAGAAUAUUUAAGACAUUCAGAGAGUUGCUGGAUGGUGCGAAGCAAUUGUUGAUGAUAUUUGAACUCGCCUUUGAGUAGCAUGCUGAACUUACAGUAGGUAUUGCCGGAGUCCAACCGUUAUAAUGGAGAGAUAUCGGUUUUAUAACCCGUAUCAGUAAGAAGUGCACGUUUCUUUAUAACGUGAAUUAGAGUGGUACCGCGGAAGUUUCUUCGUCUCUAUC
Clostridiales bacterium 42_27 is the source of this 245-nucleotide non-coding RNA. NCBI's taxonomy places the organism in Bacteria, Bacillati, Bacillota, Clostridia, Eubacteriales. The record is from Rfam.